GGAAGAGGAAAAGGCAAGUGGAGGACAAGAAGGAACCGGAGCCUAAAACACAUGAGAAGGAUAUCGAGAACAUGGAUAUAGACAAAAAAGAGGUGAAAGAAAACAAGGACAAAUAUGCGGAAGAGAAGCCAGAAACCAAGUUUGAGGUGAUGGACAAAGAAACUGCUGAAAAACCAGAUAAAGACAAAGAGGAGGCUGAAGAUGUAGCCGAUAAACAGAAAGAGGAAAAAGAAAGCGCCAAAGAGCAUGACGUUGAGAAAGGAUCAAAGAAGAGUGAUAAAUCCGNNNNNNNNNNNNNNNNNNNNNNUCGGAAGAGGAAAAGGCAAGCGGAGGAGAAGAAGGAACCGGAGCCUAAAACACCUCUGCCUUCAAAAAUUGAACGGCCUGUACGUCAACGCAAAUCUGUUGAAAGGCUGGUUGCAAUUAUUGAAGGAGAAGUCACCAAGGAAAUCAUUAUUGAAAAGGUCGAUGAUUCCAAUUGCAACUUUGUUCUCUUUAUCCCAUUUUUAUGAUUUGGGUCCAGACUGCAAAUUUAUGAGUGAUUGUGAAAUUAAUUUUAUGGUCCAUCUUGUUUGCAGGGUCGCGGAACUGCACUGAAGGAUAUCCCAAAUGGUAUGUUACUUACUAGUCCACUGAUUAUAACAUGUUUUCUUUGAAAUGCCCACAUAUCCCGCUGGAUAUAAAUCUUGAGAUAGAUACCAGUUAUAGAUGUUAUUUCUGCUUUGCUUUUCUGUAUGCACGCUGUACAAUUUACUUCCUUGUUGUUUGUUCUUGAUUUAGCGCAUGAGUAUUAACUUACCAGGGCUAACCAGCUUGAACAAACCUGUUCACCAAGUGGGUUGCUGGGACUGAAAAAUAUGGUGGGUUGGAAUGUAUGGAAAGAAACUACAAGAAAACGAAAAGCAUAUAACCCACAUUAGCUACUUCACCCAGCUUCUAUUGUUCUAUUGGAUGGAGGGAGCUUCCCUUGGAUCAUAAAAAGCGGCUUGUAGUGAAAAAAAAUGAGGAAUAACAAUUGUAUUUGUUCAAAUUGAUAUGACUAAAUACAAUCGAUAUAGGAAGUAUCUUACUCGCGCUAUGUGUUGUAAGCUAGCUCUGUGAGAUAUUUUCUUUGGUUUGGGUAAAUCUUUUGUUUCCCAUCAAAUAGAGAAGGGAGAAGAGAAAAUGAGUCAAAUAGUAGUUCAAUCUGUUAAAAUGCGAUGAAAGAUAGACCACUACCUACAUUGCUUUUAGCUUGUUCUCGUUUGAGUUGUAUGAAGGUUUAUCUGUGACCAACUAGUGGUAUGCUAAGAUCUGCAUGAAUCCUGAUCUGACUCACGACUUAAAUCAUAUUACCUUCUUUUCUGCAUGUCUGCAUUCUACAGCUAUAGGUAUUUGAUUUAAUCUCGACUUUGUUACCUCUCUCACUUGAUUAUCUUUUUUUUUGAAUAACCGUUUCAUUUGUCCCUCGUGUAUGAGAAUGUGGUAAUUGGAGGGUACUAGUCCCCACUUUGUUACCUAAGUUCUUUGGUGUAUCUAGCAUUGGUUUUGCUAUUCUGCAAGUUUCCAUUUUCUUUUGUGUGUUUCCGUUGUUUCUCCUAUGAUAUGUUGAUGCAAAAUAUUAUGUAACAGUGGCAUACAAAUUAUCCAAAAUGAAAGCUGAUGACACUCUCAAAUUGCUACACACAAUUCUCUUUGGACGACGGGGAAAGGUGACAUUUUGAUUUAUAGCUUAUUGCUGUUGAUUUCUUUCUCUUUAUUGUAUCAGUUUCUGCCUACCCAGUGGUGUUCUGGUUGACAUGCUGAAUUAUAUACUUUGCAUACUUAAUUCCCACUUCCGGACGAAGGAAAGGUGUCCUCGAUGUUGCUAUUGGUUUCUCUUGUAUAAGUACCUAGAUAGGUAGUUGAAAGCUAAGUUGCUCGGACACUCCAAAAAUCAGGGGCGGAUCUACGGUAGCGGGUGUGGGUUCCCGGGAACCCACAACCGCUACCGUAAGACAUAUAAUUAAAUGAGAAAUAUUAUUAAAAGGUAUAAAUAUUUAAAGGUGGGAACCCAUAACAAAACUGGUGGAUAGCUCAGUGGUUAGAGGGAACCCAUAUGUAUUUCCGGCCCUCCAAUGCAGGUUCGAAUCCCCUUAGGUGCAUUUUCUUUUUUAUUAUGCUUGGGAACCCACAAGUUUAAAAUUCUGGAUCUGCCUGUGCCAAAAAUGUUGCUGCACCCAUGUCGGAUCCUUCAAACUCACACUAUUUUUGGAGGAUCCAACACGCAACCGUCAACAUUCUUGAAGAGUUCGAGCAACAUAGGUUGAGAGAUGAAGGAAGCUAUGAUCUUCCUGAUGCAUGUUUGUGUCCAUUUUAGGGUCAUGUAAUCCGGAGCAUUAUUCCAGACAAUCAUAUGUUUCCAAUUCUCCAAUUUUGUUGGAAUUAACUCUCAUGGCUCGUCUAGUUUUGGCAUACAACUUUGCAUUACUAAUUUAACGUUAUGUUUUCAGUAUUCAUAUCACUCGCUCCCCAAGUCUUCAACUCAUGGAAUUAAGAAAUGUCUUCAAGAACACUUAAAGACAAUAUGCUAUUUGCUCUCUAUCUCGUUUUCACUCUCUUUCUGUUGAUACUUUGUGCUUAUAGUUCUUGUACUUUGCAGGCAGCUCAAUUCAAGAGUAAUAUUUCACAGUUUUCCGGCUUUGUGUGGCAUGAAAAUGAGGUAAUCAACGAGUCCCGUUUUCUAGAAGUUAUUUAGAGAGAUAAUUUGUGCCAGGUGUGGGUACGGCAGGUUGGUUUAGAGAAGAUUUGAAUAUAAAAUUUCUCAUUGCUUGCUCAUUCGAGGUUUUCUAUGUAUCUUGUUUCAUUGUUGUGCUUUUAGUCUGAUUUGAGUAAUUUUCGUUAUAAUGAUCUGAAAAACGUUGAGCUCAGUGCCUCUGAAUACUAACCGGUUUUUGCAGGAAAAACAAAAGAUGAAAGUAAAAGAAAAGCUUAACAAGUGUGUAAAAGAGAAGCUGUUGGAAUUAUGUGAUGUACUCGAUAUACCUGAUGCCGAGGAUACAUCAAGAAAGGUGUGUUCAUAUAUUAUCAUUAGCUAUUUCUUUUGUGUGUGUUCAACCUCUGGCAGAAAUGCGAGGUAAGGCUGCGUACAAUACACCCUUGUGGUGGGGCCCUUCCUUGGAACCUGCGCUAAGCGGAAGCUUUAGUGCACCGGGCUGCCUAUUUUUUAUUUCUUUUGUGUGUUUGUGUCGUAUCUUUUGAGGGUAUACCAAUGGCAGGGUAAAUAUUUCUUCUCGAAAAUUUUGACUUGGAAAACUGUCACUUGUGUUUUUCUUUAAAAUUCGACUUUUCUUUAAAAUUCGACAUGUUGGUUCUCGAAGAGGAGCCUUGGAGUAACUGGUAAAGUUGCUGCCGUGUGACCAGGAGGUCACGGGUUCAAGCCUUGGAAACAGCCUCUUGCAGAAAUGCAAGGUAAGGCUGCGUACAAUACACCCUUGUGGUGGGGCCCUUCCCAGACACCGCGCAUAGCAGGAGUUUUAGUGCACCGGGCUGCCCUUUUUUCCGACAUGUUGGUUCUAAACUUGUCACUUCAGACCAUAUGAGGCAGCUCGUAACAGACACGUGUUAAGCCUUUGUGUGCGAACUUCCUCGAGAGAUUCUCAAAUCUCAAUUUAUUCUGUGUUUUAUGUUUCAGGAAAACUUAGAAUCACAGUUGCUGGAUUUUUUACUUGCUCCUCAUCCUACGACAUCUGAGUUACUCGCUGAAAAGGACCAGGUUGGUUGCACAACCUUUUCGAUUGCAAUGAAAUAUUUGUGAGUUCUUCCAGUUGCAUAGCAUGCUGAUUCACUCAUGGUGCAUUGAACAGUCAAGUAAAGGAAAGAAGCAUGAAAGAGCGAGCAAAAAGAGUCCUUCGUCAGGUUCAACUAAGGUAUCGCUCUUUCUUACUAAUUUGAGCUCGACUUAGUUGCAAGGAAUUACCUAGGGAAUGAUUUUAGUCUUCGACUAGUGAAAUUGUUGUGACCUGUUUGGCUGAUGUCACCUGUUAUCAACUUCCAUUUACUGCACUUAAGUUUACACCCUUGAUAUUUGAGACGUUAAAUCACGUUAUCUGGCUUACUGUUAUUGAAGUUGUCGAUCACCUUGUGAACAUAAUUCUGCUAAUCGAAGUGGUUUACUCUCUGAAGCUCUACUGAGUUUUGAUCUGGGGACGAGAGUGCAAAAUCGUUUCGCUUCCCGGUAAGAGAAAAAAGGUUCUCAGGCAAAAAGGCUAAAGUUUUUCAUGCCGGAAACAUGCUAUACAUGUCUAGUAUGAUAAGCGUUUGGGUAUUGGGAUGUUAUGUAAAUGGUGUAUUUAGCGUUUUGCAUUUGAGGUUGUUUUAUUCUUUCAAAUGUUAAACAAGAAAAUCUAGACAAAAAGAGGAGACCUAAGUUGCGCAGACUCUUCACUUCCAAUGUAGCACCCGUGUCGGAUUCUUCAAAAAUACACUAGUUUUGGUGAAUCCGACACCCGCCCAUUAACAUAUUUUAAGAGUCCGAGCAACAUAGGAGGAGACUCGCCAACCAUGUAAUUGUGCUUGUUGGGACUUUAUCAUGAUUUCUGUGUCGUGUAUAUUCUGCAGAGUAAGGCUGAGAAGAAGAAAAAGAAUGUGAAUGAACUAAACGAUGAUCAGGACGAGGGACAUGAAGUGACAAAGGCUAAUGGUGUUCACGAGGGAACCGAUGGAGAGAUGUCAAAUCAAGCUGAAAGUGAGGAGGAAAGCGGUACAUCUGAAGAAAAAACCAAGAAGCACAAGAAGAAGCGUAAGCGAAGUUCAAAUAAGGAACGUUCAAAUUCAAAGAAAAAUGAUAAUGAUGAUGCAAAUCUGAAAGUGUAUUCAAAGAGAAAUACUACUGAAACGGCUAAGGGAAAGUCAUCUGCACAAAAGAAGCCUGGUUCAAAAGACAAUACUGGUGAGAAUCGUUGUUAACUCCUAUUUGUGUGUAGUACUCUCAAAAAUUCUCGUCGAGAUGAUCAAAGAUUUGUAUACGAGCAUCUGAAAGCGUUUUCUUUGUUCAUGUAUUUACUUUUUUGUGCAGGGAAAGAAGUUCCGAAUGGGAAGGGCCAUAAGAAAAAAGAUAAAUUGUGGCCAAGUGAUAAGGAACUCAGAAAAGCAAUUUGUGAAGUUCUAAAAGAAGUCGACUUUAACACGGUGAGUAAUGAACUUUUAUAAUCGUGCCUCUUUUCUCUCCUUAUUAGUAGAUCUCGAUUGUCAAAAUCCCCCUAUUUAGACGUCCCCGUGCUUUUUUAAAAAGGAGUUGUUUUUCCCAUCUGCGUCAGCUUUGGUGGGUCGAGGUUACUCGAUAACAAUGGUGGGAGGUAGUAGGUACCUGGUGAAAUAGUCGAGUCGAACUAUGCUAGUUCGGCCAGGACACCACCAUUAUCCGGAACGAAAUAAAAAAAACCGAGACCACAUUUCAAGAUGGUGUUCUUCGACCGUCACAUUUUGGCGGCUACUAACGUUAUUUGUUUAUACUGCAGGCUACCUUUACUGACAUUGUCCAGAUGCUUGGUAAGUGUCGUAUGUACAACCUUGGUAACCACAUCGGCUACGAUGCCACGGUAAUACUAUUCCGGAAUCCCAACCGAUGAGUUUUUAUCUUUUUCAGGCAAGCGGUAUGAUACUGAUCUUACACCUAGAAAGACAUCUGUGAAGAAUAUGAUCCAGGAUGAACUCACUAGGUUAGCCGAUGAGGCUGAGGCUGAUGAAGCGGGCGAUGAAGAAAAUGCUGAAGAGGAUGAAAAACAGCCUUCCGUCCAAAGCGUAGAGGCUUGAAAGCAUAGCGCAAACCAAGGAAAGGAAGAAGCCUAUAUUGUCUUAUCUCUAUAUCCGACCCUUUCUUCCCCGGUUGAUGUCUGAAUUGCGGUCUAUAAUGAGCUCGACCGCGUGUAGUUUUAACUCACUGGUUAGUAAGUUGUAGAACUAGAAAUGUCAAGUUUUGGUGCAGGAUUGCAGCUUAACAUGUAAACAACAUUUGUAGUUUGGUAGUGUUUUCAACCUAUGACAUUAAGGGGUAGGAGGGAUAAGGAUAACUGAUUUCCGGAUUAAUUUAGAAAGGAGUUUAUCCGAUGUUUGGUUGGGACAAAAUGCAUGGUAUAACUCAUUUUGGGAUUAGUUAUUCCGGGAUUAUAGUGUUUUUCUUAUCCCUCCUCCUUGAGGGUGGAGUAACUAAUCUCAGGAUAGCUAAUCUCAGAAUUAAUACCUUGGGAUAACUUAUUUUCCAACCAAACGGCCCCUAACAAUAUGGGGUAUUAAUUCUAUUCUCCUGCAUCUUAUUUAGUACUAUUCUUAAUAGUCGAUAACAAAAUAAUGCCAGCAUAACUAAUUUCAUCAUCGUACCCAAGGGUGUGGUCUAGAGGUUCACGAAGUCUCGAGUUAAAACUCCAGCAGAAACAAAAAUAUUAGGUGAUUUUUGUUCGUUUGUUUUAACUUUGGUGGACAGAGUUACCUGGUAGGUGGGAGGUGCGAAGUAUUUUGUGGAAUUAGUCGAGGCGCGAGCAAGAUGGUUCGGACACCAAGAUUGUUUAAAAAAAAAACUAUUAAUGUUAUACUAUUCUUAUACAUCUUACCAAACGACUCCUAUAUGAGAGUUUUGUAAUUAACAAUUUCACCACUUAUAAAUUACUACGUCUCAAUCUCAAAUAAGUUGGUGCGCUCGUAGAAUUUGUAAGCCGGUGAGCCACGUAACUACUCGUCUCUCGAUUAGAUUUCUAAUUUAUGUCGAUCUUAAUUCUUAAAUGACUACUCGUCUCGGGUUUAGAUUUCUAAUUUAUGUCAAUCGUAAUUCUUAAAUGUAUGAGUAAUGAUGAUGAUGAUGAUGAUGAUGAUGAUGAUGAUGAUGAUAAUAAUAAUAAUAAUAAUAAUAAUAAUAAUAAUAUAAUAAUAUUUUAAGUAAUAUAUAAAAUACUUGCUAGGAACUAUCCUAAAAAAUUAUUUUCGUAAUGUGAAAUAUUUUCCCAUGAUUAAACAAGCACUGAUUAAUUAUAGGAUAUCUAAAGUUAAAUACACAUGUACAAUAUGUUUUUUUUGGGAUUAAGAAAUAAUACUUGGUCUUCAAGUACUUAACUUUGCACAUGUCAAAAUUGAGCACCAAUAAUAAUUAAGUAUUAUUUAAUUAAAAUUUUUAGUUUCUCUCAAAGUAAGAUUAAAAUAUCAUUUGAAUUAUUUUAAAAUAUCUAACAACGGAUUCAUUCGAAAAUAGUAUUUUUUACACGAAUCUCUUGAAUUCAAUCCCAUAAAGUUCAAAAUUUUCUAAAUACAAACUAACAGAAAAAGAGUGCCGUUAAUAUACAAGCAUUGACGGGUCGUCUGGUUGGGAAACAAGUUAUUCCGCGAUUAAUUAUUUCAGAAUUAGCUAUAUGAGACUUCGUUAUCCACCCUCAACGUGGGAUAAAAAUAACACUAUAAUCUCAAAAUUAAUUAUCCCUUAUCCCCGUACCAAACGAGCCGGCUCUAAGCAACAAUAUUUGAUUGGACACAAUUUUAAAAAAUAUAUAUAUAUAUUAAAAAAUUAAAUCAAAUUUAUAAUAGGGAAUCAUCAACUUUGUUUAUAAUUAUAAUUUAAACCAAAUUUGUUUAGAAAUAACCCGACCCGACCCGACCCGACUGGCCUUACCCUAUAUAUCCAAAAUCCGAAUCUAAAGCCCACAAUCAUAACCCUAAUUUCCCCAAAUCCCUUUUCUGUCCGGCGAUUUUCUCACCGACGACCGGAGAUUUCUCACCGGCGAUAUUUUUAUCAAUUUGAACGAGAUGGAUGAUUAUCAGGAGAUGGAAAGGUUCGGUAUGGAGAACGAUUACGAAGACGGACAGUGGAUCGGCGGCGAAUUCUACUAUCGGAAGCGUAAGGAGAAGAACAAGGUACAAACGAAGGACGACGUGCUUUACGGAGUUUUCGCUUCGGGCGAUAGCGAUUCUGACUACGAGGGAUCUUCGUCGAAGAAGCGGAAGAAAGGCCUCUUAUCAAAACUUGACUUGACGAAGCCAGUUAACUUCGUGUCAACUGGAGUGGUCAUGCCGAAUAGAGAAAUCGAUCAGAAUUCCAAAGAGGAGAAUAAUGAUAGCAAUAACAACAAUCAGUUAUUGUCAGAAGAGAGCAGUAAGGGUUUGGGUUUUGGUAGUAAUAAUAAUAAUGCUAAUGGUGAUGGUGUUGAUGCUGAUGAUGUUGAAGCUGAUGAGGGGAAUUUUCUGCCAACGGCGUUUGGUAGGAAGAUUAAGGAAGGUGCGUUAAGGCGAGAGAAGGAGAGGGAGAAGGAGAAGUCAAGUAAGGCUAGUAAAGCGUCUGCUUUUGACUCGGGGAGGAAGGGUGAUGUUGGUGGUGAUGUGGGUGGAUUUGAGAAGUAUACGAAGGGGAUUGGGAUGAAGUUGCUUGAGAAGAUGGGGUAUAAAGGAGGUGGAUUGGGUAAAAAUGAGCAAGGAAUUGUGGCUCCGAUUGAGGCGAAGUUGAGGCCGAAGAAUAUGGGAAUGGGGUUUAAUGAUUAUAAGGAGACGACUAGUGCACCGGCUAUUCAAGAAUCGGAUGGAAAGGUGGUUGUUGAUCGUCCUGGGAUAGUCGUGGAGGGACGAUCAAAAGAGAAGGCUUGGUCAAAGCAAACUAAGAAAGUGAAGAAGGUUUAUGUUACAGCGGAAGAGUUGUUAGCUAAAAAACAGGAGCAGGGAUUGGAAGUUGUUCAGAAGGUGUUUGAUAUGAGGGGUCCACAAGUUCGAGUCUUGACGAAUUUGGAGAACUUGAAUGCUGAAGAAAAAGCGAGGGAGAAUGAUGUUCCAAUGCCGGAACUUCAGCAUAAUAUUAGGUUGAUUGUCGAUUUGGCAGAACUUGACAUACAGAAAAUCGAUAGUGAUUUGAGGAAUGAGAUGGAGACUAUUGUUACUUUGCAGAAGGAGAAGGAGAAGCUACAAGCGGAGGCAGCGCGACAGAAAAGGCAGUUUGAUAAUAUGGAAGAGGUUGUUGGUGUAUUGGACCGGAUAGGGGAAGAGAGCACAUCUGGUACCCUAACGUUGGACUCCCUCGCGAAAGCGUUUGCAGACUUGCAGAAGCAGUAUGCUGAGGAAUACACACUCUGCAACUUGUCUAGCAUAGCGUGCUCGUAUGCAGUGCCUUUGUUUAUUCGAAUUUUUCAGGGAUGGGAUCCACUUCAAACUCCAAUACAUGGAUUGGAAGUGGUUUCGCUGUGGAAAGAUCUUUUGCAAGGUGCUGACAUUUUUGCUAUCUCUGAUGCUGCAUCUCCUUAUACUCAACUAUUUAUGGAAGUUGUAUUCCCUGCUAUUAGAAUAUCUGGCACUAAUACCUGGCAGGCAAGGGAUCCUGAAACGAUGCUUCGUUUUUUGGAGUCUUGGGAGAAGUUGUUGCCUCCUGCAGUCCUUCAGACAAUACUGGAAAACAUUGUUUUACCCAAGUUGUCAGCUGCUGUGGACUCCUGGGAUCCACGUCGAGAAACAGUUCCAAUCCAUUCUUGGGUUCAUCCAUGGUUGCCUUUGUUAGGUCAAAGAUUGGAAAGUUGCUACCACACUAUACGUAACAGAUUGGAAAGUGUAUUGCAUGCUUGGCACCCAAGUGAUAUGUCUGCAUACUAUAUAUUGUCUCCUUGGAAGACUGUGUUUGAUGCUAUUAGCUGGGAAAAACUAAUGGUUCGAUUUAUUGUUCCAAAGUUGUUAGCGGUGAUGCAUGAAUUCCAAAUAAAUCCAGCAAAUCAGAAUCUUGAUCAUUUCUAUUGGGUUCGUACUUGGGCUACUGCUAUUCCGAUCCAUCACAUGCUUCCAAUACUGGAUAUAUUCUUCAACAAGUGGCAAGAAGUUUUGUACCAUUGGUUAUGCUCAAACCCGGACUUUGAAGAAGUGACGAAAUGGUUUUUGGGUUGGAAGGAACUUAUUCCACCUGAACUUCAGGCGAAUGAACAUGUUCGCUAUCGACUUAAUCUUGCUCUAGGAAUGAUGGACAAGGCUGUUGAAGGCGCGGAGGUAGUUCAACCUGGUUUGAGGGAGAACAUAAGUUAUCUUAGGGUUCUUGAACAAAGGCAAUUUGAGACUCAGAAAAAAGCAGCAGCACAAGCUCAAUCCCGCACUUCUGUGGGCUCGAACAGUGGUAUCCAAAUGGAUGGUACAGGCGGUGGAGCUGACAUGAGCAUGAAAGAAGUUAUUGAAGUUCAUGCUCAAGAGAAUGGUUUGCUGUUCAAACCUAAGCCCGGCAGGAUGCAAGAUGGUCAUCAGAUAUAUAGUUUUGGUAACAUGAGUAUUAUUAUAGAUUCUCUCAAUCAGAAGGUAUUUGCGCAAGUUGAGGACAGGUGGACUUUUGUGUCACUUGAGCAGCUUUUGGAUCUACAUAAGCGUUCUGGGAUAAAGCGCCGAUAGAUGUCUAAAGUUCUUGAAUGUUAUCUACGGAAGCAACUCCAAGCUUUAAAAAACUAGUUUUUAGGCUUCACGGGUAUUUCUGCACUGGAUUUCUCGUUUUGUCAUAGUUAGUCAUGAGAAGAUGAAAUACAUUUUCCCCAUUAGUGGCAUUUUAUCUGCUCCUUUAACUUGUAAGUUCUCAUCAUCCUACUUCGAGACAUCUGGCAAAAUCACUAGAAUGAGGGAGACUUGAUUCUUGAAUGUCAUUCUUUUUAGCUCAGAUCGCAAUCUUUCAAAAAUUGAGUAGAUUUUGUAUUGUGGAGUAUUUUGUGAUUUUCUUUAUACAGAUAUUAGAUGUUCCAUAAAAACUAUCUAAUGAUAUUAGAUGUUCGCCAACUUGUUUUUGACUGAGAUGUAGUAGUAGUUUCUGUACAUAUUCUUUUGAUUUAAUCCUUAGAUAUUGUGGUAACUCAAACGUAGAAUGCGCAUGCACAGAUUGGCUCUCAUCUUUGGACCUUAGUUCUUGCUGCUUUAAUAUGUAUCCGAUAUUUUUACAUCCCCAUGGGAGGCCGAAGCUAGUAGCUGCUAGGGAGUAACUUUGGGAAAUCUGUAGUGAGCCAGCGAGGUUGUGGGUCCAUUGAUCUCGUUUUGUAUAUUUUUUCUCUCUUUUAAUUUUAGUAAAUUGUUGGCUGGAUUUUUCAUCAAGGUUUGUGUAGUCCGAGUGUGUAUUUAGUUCCUUAUCCAAGAUCAAACAAGGGAUGCCUCAUUAAGCAAGAGCCAUAACUAAGAACGAAGCAGUUCAAUUUAGGCAUAGAAAAAUUUUCAUAGAACAAUCAACUAAAUUCAUGAAUUUUUCCAAAUGAUGAGAAUAAUUGGUCAGAAGUCUAAUAAAUUCCAACAAUUCUACUUGCAUUCUAUUUGUCAGGGGAAUAAAUGUCUCCAACUUAUUAUCCUCGGCCUCCAGGUGAUUAUUCUUAGUCCUCUGGUAUGUCGUCCUACUUGUAAGUCUUACACUGUAUCAAGCCUCUUAAGCAAAUUGUGAAUGAAGUUACUUUUUGUUUGAUUGUUUUAGUCUUGACCCUUUGUAAAAUGUGGGUUCCUUUGCGACUGAUUUCUUCUUUUUGCAUUUCUGCUGUGCUUUGGACUAUUUUUUCUUGAGUGAGUGUCUAACGGAAACAGCCUCUCUACCUCUGAGGGUAGGAUAAGGUCUCUGUACACUCUAUUCUCCCAGACCCCACUUUGUGGGACUACACUAAGUAUAUUGUUGUUGUUGUCUUUGCUACUCAUCUUGUUCUCCCUUUAUAUCUUUGCUUGACCUAGUUAGUAAAAUGCUUAAUUAUUACAGUCACUUUUGAGGUUUCGGUGCUGAUACUAACUUAUUGUCACAAUGUUCGCUAAGCCAGUUUUCAACCUUUAUAUAUUACUACCUUCUUAUCAUCGUUUCCAGGCUUCGUUGGCGAUGUGCUGCUGUCCUAAGUUGCUCGGACUCUCCAAAAAUGUUGCCGCCCCUGUGUCGGAUCCUCCAAAAUUGCACUACUUUUGAAGGAUCCGACACGCACCCUGCGACAUUUUGAAGAGUCUGAGCAACAUAGCUGCCGUUCAUGCAGCUUGCUGCAAAAGUUUCAGAAUUUAGUGAAUGGCUUUUCCUCUGUCCCCAAUCCAAGAAAAGACGGAUUACAGGGGGCGUCUCCGCCCUUCCUGGUUUGUUGUCAAGACGCUUAAUACUUUAUUUAUAAGCUUUGUAUAGAACUGAUUGGCAUUCACCUUUUUGGUUUCAAUUUUGCCAUGACAUGAACGAAGAGCUCGAACAGUCUAAACAGUGCUGGAUUUUUUUUUGAGAAAUCACCAGUUUUAUGGAACGGAAUGGGAUCCCUUGUAGAAGAUAAGUGGUGGGCGCCUUGUUCUCCAUGUGUGUCCUACCACAAGAAUUUAGGAAAUCUCUCCGCUAACCUUGGUAGGGAAAACUUGAGACUCAAGCUGGCCCAUUUUCUUUCAAAACCAUGCCUAAGAAUCUAAGAACACCGAUUUACUCCUUGCUAGAUACUGGUGUUCUUAUUUGCUUGUGAGGCAGUGCUCUAUAAAUUGAUUCAAGUAGCUUGGAUAAUGUCCUUACCAAGGAGUUAGCUCCUUUACUGAUGCUAACCUGUUACCCUUGACUACUUGCAGAAGUCUCUUCUUGAAAUCUGGCAGGUCUAAACGCUGAGCAUGGAGACUGGAGAACGACUAAAUAUCCCCUUAUUUUGGAGAGCCAAUGCGGUUCUAGUUUGAAAAAUCCAUUGUGACAGCGCUCAGUGCUCAGCGAGCUUUUCAUUUCCAUUCACUGGUAACUCAUAUUGUCUUGACCGUUGAUUGUUCUCUGCUUGAAUAUAACAGAAGACCGCUGUGAUCCUGCCGAUAUCAAAAUUGAGUGGCAGCUUUUGUUUUUUUUCCAAUUUUGUGCUCAUCGAGACAGCAGAACAUGAAGUGUGAAGUCGAAAUUUGGAGCUCAUACAAUCAUAAUGUAUCAGCCUUCUGCCCAAUCUGUAGAGACCUAAAACCAUUGGUAGCCUAUAUUGUUGUCUCUAUCCGGUGAUCCGACCCUUCAUCCUUGUUGAUUGUCUGAAUUGUGUUCUAUAAUAGGAAGGUGUUGGUAGGAGUUCAGCCGUUAUAGUAGGGAAGAAUGCUUUGUUUGUAUCCGUGCAUAGAUUUUCAUGUUUGUGGUAUUUCGGUGAUGUCUGUGAUUUUAGAUUGAUAGUCUAUAGUAGGGAAGAAUGCUUUGUUUAUAUUGUUUCCUGUAGUAUCUAGCCGUGUUAGUCUAUUUUACAUAUUGUAUUAGCUUGUAUGAUUUUAUGUUGUUGUGUUUGUCACAAUGUUGUCUGUCCUGAGUCGGGUUUCUAUUGGAAACAACCUCUCUACUUCACUAGCGGUAGUGGUAUGGUCUGCGUACACUUUACCCUCCUCCCUCCUCAGAUCCCACUAUGUGGGUAUGUUGUUGUUGUUGUAG
RNAcentral lists this long non-coding RNA (13303 nucleotides) under Capsicum annuum. RNAcentral's name for it is "long non-coding RNA (CANN_LNC015084)". Lineage: Eukaryota; Viridiplantae; Streptophyta; Magnoliopsida; Solanales; Solanaceae. The record is from RNAcentral.